Molecule: long non-coding RNA, 301 nt
Filed under: Gossypium barbadense (sea-island cotton)
Lineage: Eukaryota; Viridiplantae; Streptophyta; Magnoliopsida; Malvales; Malvaceae
Description: long non-coding RNA (GBAR_LNC019237)
Source: RNAcentral
UUUUCUCAUUUUUUAUUAUUUUAGAUCAUGUUUAUUUAUCCUUUUUAAUCAUGUAUUUUCCAUUUUUAUUUUUAUUUUACUUUACCUUAUUAUUAUGUUAUUAUAGUAUUCCUUUAUUUACUUAUUAUCUAUCAUUCUAAUAUUCUAUCUACCUAGCCAUUUUAUAUUAUUUCAUUAUCACUAUUCCAUACAUUAUAUUUAGACAUAUUUGUCCGUUUUGUAUUGUAACAGAAUAAAUUAAAUAUACACCACUUUAAACGUCAUAUUUAAUUUUUUAUUCAAUGCGUAAAAAGGAGUAUUU